Long non-coding RNA from Lutra lutra (Eurasian river otter), 216 nucleotides. RefSeq lists it as uncharacterized. The transcript is spliced from 3 exons. The record is from RefSeq and is a predicted model, not a curated record. NCBI's taxonomy places the organism in Eukaryota, Metazoa, Chordata, Mammalia, Carnivora, Mustelidae.
GGGUAUGGGGCGGGGGAAGUCCGUGAUGGACAGUUCCUGAUUGGGAAGUUCCUGGGUGGAGAGCUUCAGUUUCCUGGCGGUGACGUGGAGGCUGCAGUGAGGGUGGCGGGAAAGUCCGCCAUCUUGGAGAGGGUCAGUGGGAAGAUCCGCCAUUUUGGAGCCCCGGUUUCCCAGCUGGCCCAUCAGAUACUUACUCCUGAAUUAAGGAGAGGGAGU